CAAGUCAAAAAAUACAUGGCUGCACUGGACGGUCGCUGCAAAUACUAGGAUGAUUUUAGCAGAGGUUCUGAAAUGGCGAAGCUGACACACUUUGACAGGCAUCAUAUCAUAGUUUUACACCAACAGGAGGAUAAUCUAAACAUCAUUUUCUUUGCCUGCCUAAGACUUUUGCACAGUUCUGUA
Molecule: long non-coding RNA, 183 nt
Organism: Brienomyrus brachyistius
Lineage: Eukaryota; Metazoa; Chordata; Actinopteri; Osteoglossiformes; Mormyridae
Exons: 2
Source: RefSeq, a predicted model, not a curated record